This 600-nucleotide ribosomal RNA is filed under the name Franzmannia qiaohouensis. RNAcentral's name for it is "bacterial SSU rRNA". It matches the Rfam family "Bacterial small subunit ribosomal RNA", at positions 81 to 677 of the family's 1533-position model. The record is from RNAcentral. Lineage: Bacteria; Pseudomonadati; Pseudomonadota; Gammaproteobacteria; Oceanospirillales; Halomonadaceae.
CUUCCUGGUGGCGAGCGGCGGACGGGUGAGUAAUGCAUAGGAAUCUGCCCGAUAGUGGGGGAUAACCUGGGGAAACCCAGGCUAAUACCGCAUACGUCCUACGGGAGAAAGCAGGGGCUCUUCGGACCUUGCGCUAUCGGAUGAGCCUAUGUCGGAUUAGCUAGUUGGUGAGGUAAUGGCUCACCAAGGCGACGAUCCGUAGCUGGUCUGAGAGGAUGAUCAGCCACAUCGGGACUGAGACACGGCCCGAACUCCUACGGGAGGCAGCAGUGGGGAAUAUUGGACAAUGGGCGCAAGCCUGAUCCAGCCAUGCCGCGUGUGUGAAGAAGGCCUUCGGGUUGUAAAGCACUUUCAGUGAGGAAGAACGCCUUGGGCCUAAUACGUCCAAGGGAAGACAUCACUCACAGAAGAAGCACCGGCUAACUCCGUGCCAGCAGCCGCGGUAAUACGGAGGGUGCGAGCGUUAAUCGGAAUUACUGGGCGUAAAGCGCGCGUAGGUGGCUUGAUAAGCCGGUUGUGAAAGCCCCGGGCUCAACCUGGGAACGGCAUCCGGAACUGUCAGGCUAGAGUGCAGGAGAGGAAGGUAGAAUUCCCGGUGUA